UACGUAGGGGGCGAGCGUUGUCCGGAGUUACUGGGCGUAAAGCGCACGCAGGCGGUCUGCUAAGUUUGGAGUGACAGUUGGUGGCUUAACUGCCAAAGUGCUUCGAAAACUGACAGACUUGAGGGCUUCAGAGGGACACGGAAUUCCGGGUGGAGUGGUGAAAUGCGUAGAGAUCCGGAAGAACACCAGUGGCGAUGGCGGCCCGCUGGGCAGUGGCUGACGCUGAGGCGCGACAGCGUGGGGAGCAAACAGG
This 253-nucleotide ribosomal RNA is filed under the name uncultured bacterium. Its description in RNAcentral is "partial 16S ribosomal RNA". It matches the Rfam family "Bacterial small subunit ribosomal RNA", at positions 524 to 776 of the family's 1533-position model. The record is from RNAcentral.